Molecule: long non-coding RNA, 727 nt
Organism: Erigeron canadensis
Lineage: Eukaryota; Viridiplantae; Streptophyta; Magnoliopsida; Asterales; Asteraceae
Exons: 3
Source: RefSeq, a predicted model, not a curated record
UGAACCACGUAUGCAUCUAAAGACAUACUCGGUAUUUACUAGUAGUGAUGAUUUCAGGUUUAUUUUGGAGCUGAUCUGGGCUUUUCAUCGAUACAUUUUCAUAGAUCUUCGGAUAAGCCAUAACUUCUUAUUGUUGAUCACGUGCUUUUACAAACUUGAAACCUGCUAUUUUCUCUAUGAUUUUAAUGACAUUAAAAACUUCACGAAAUUCACAUCAACUGUGAGGUUAUAAAAAUCAUAGAGAAAAUAGCUGAAAGAGUUAGCCACAAGAGCUGCUAAGCUAAUCUUGAAGAAUUAACCUUUUUUAUAUGCACGUUAUUAUACGUUUGUACAUAGCUGAAAGACAAUGUAGGGUCACGCGGGGGAGCAAUAACUUGCGGAUGCGUUUUUAUUAGAGUGACAUGGAUUUCUAUCAAUUUGCUACCACUAUGCUCCGAACUCCCCACCUUUCAAACAAAACUAAAUCGAAAGAAUGGAAAUACGAGUAGGGAAUUGAAGCCAAGGAAGAAAACUAGUGAAUCCAAACCUAAUCCAAUCGAAUUGACAAGAGCGCUACUUAAGGAUGCUGCAAUGAAGAAAUGAUCUUGGCAUACAUGCAUAUCAAGCAUUUACAUUGUUUAUCAUUAUGAACAUAAAAAAUAAGCAUAGUCAAAUAAGUAUUUAACAUUUCAAAUAAUAUCCAACUGUUUAUAGCAACUGCUUUUAAUGAAGUACAUGAAUCUGUCCA